RNAcentral lists this ribosomal RNA (497 nucleotides) under uncultured bacterium. RNAcentral describes it as "partial 16S ribosomal RNA". It matches the Rfam family "Bacterial small subunit ribosomal RNA", at positions 28 to 507 of the family's 1533-position model. The record is from RNAcentral.
GAUGAACGCUGGCGGCGUGCCUAAUACAUGCAAGUCGAGCGAACAGACGAGGAGCUUGCUCCUCUGACGUUAGCGGCGGACGGGUGAGUAACACGUGGAUAACCUACCUAUAAGACUGGGAUAACUUCGAGAAACCGGAGCUAAUACCGGAUAAUAUAUUGAACCGCAUGGUUCAAUAGUGAAAGACGGUUUUGCUGUCACUUAUAGAUGGAUCCGCGCCGCAUUAGCUAGUUGGUAAGGUAACGGCUUACCAAGGCAACGAUGCGUAGCCGACCUGAGAGGGUGAUCGGCCACACUGGAACUGAGACACGGUCCAGACUCCUACGGGAGGCAGCAGUAGGGAAUCUUCCGCAAUGGGCGAAAGCCUCACGGAGCAACGCCGCGUGAGUGAUGAAGGUCUUCGGAUCGUAAAACUCUGUUAUUAGGGAAGAACAAAUGUGUAAGUAACUAUGCACGUCUUGACGGUACCUAAUCAGAAAGCCACGGCUAACUACGUG